This 478-nucleotide ribosomal RNA is filed under the name uncultured bacterium. RNAcentral's name for it is "partial 16S ribosomal RNA". It matches the Rfam family "Bacterial small subunit ribosomal RNA", at positions 28 to 523 of the family's 1533-position model. The record is from RNAcentral.
GACGAACGCUGGCGGCGUGCUUAACACAUGCAAGUCGAACGGUAAGGCCCUUCGGGGUACACGAGUGGCGAACGGGUGAGUAACACGUGGGUGAUCUGCCCUGCACCUCGGGAUAAGCCUGGGAAACUGGGUCUAAUACCGGAUAGGACCACUGCCUGCAUGGGCGGUGGUGGAAAGCUUUUGCGGUGUGGAAUGGGCCCGCGGCCUAUCAGCUUGUUGGUGGGGUGAUGGCCUACCAAGGCGACGACGGGUAGCCGACCUGAGAGGGUGACCGGCCACACUGGGACUGAGAUACGGCCCAGACUCCUACGGGAGGCAGCAGUGGGGAAUAUUGCACAAUGGGCGCAAGCCUGAUGCAGCGACGCCGCGUGAGGGAUGACGGCCUUCGGGUUGUAAACCUCUUUCAGCACCGACGAAGCGCAAGUGACGGUAGGUGCAGAAGAAGGACCGGCCAACUACGUGCCAGCAGCCGCCGUAA